Molecule: long non-coding RNA, 613 nt
Organism: Diorhabda carinulata
Lineage: Eukaryota; Metazoa; Arthropoda; Insecta; Coleoptera; Chrysomelidae
Exons: 2
Source: RefSeq, a predicted model, not a curated record
AACACAUGUGUCUAAAAUAAGGUUGCGUAGAGAUAAUUUGAGGUUAGGAGCUAAAAUAGAGGGAAAUAAACUUUUAUAGUAAGAAGUUAUGAAAGUUGAGGCGUAGAAAUAUUGGAAAAGUUUUAUUAGGUGCGAAAUGUGAUUUGUUUCUUAUGGACGUAUAAAGUGAAAAUGUGAUUUGUUCGAUUACUGGUGUUUUUUACCAAAUAGAUUCUGCUUACAGACAGGCUAAAGACGCCCAAUUCAUCCUUUUUUUGAAGAUGUACGAACCAGUGGAACCUGAUACCAAGGCACGUCUUUCCAGAACACAAUACAGAGGUUUGAGACCAAUAUCUCCGCACUGAAGCACCACUCGAGCUACUAAAUUGUACUAAAGGUUUGUUGGCCCACGGGUGUUAGAUUUAUAAACCGUUAGGUUGAAAAUAUAUUCGGAAAACAUUCGAAAAGGUUUACCUGCUCAACAAAUGUGAUUUAUAUUAACUAAAUGAGUAGACAAUAAAAAAUAUGGAAACAUAUCCCCAUAACUAAAUUAAACUAUGCUCAUGGCUGUCGUGUGCUAAGUUCCUGGAAUAUUUUGUGGUUUAAAGCUAGAUAAUAAAAGGUUCGUAGCUCC